This 9961-nucleotide long non-coding RNA is filed under the name Citrus x clementina. Its description in RNAcentral is "Citrus clementina (C. clementina) long non-coding RNA (CCLE_LNC005712)". Lineage: Eukaryota; Viridiplantae; Streptophyta; Magnoliopsida; Sapindales; Rutaceae. The record is from RNAcentral.
AAUUUUACACUAAACGAGAAAUUUACGAAGUAAUAGAAAUGAAAAAUUAAGCAACCUGGUCGCCGACUUUCCAUCUAGAGACGUUUUUACCAACGGACAGGAUGGUUCCGGAACAUUCGAGACCCGGGUGAGGGCUGGCGCCUUUGGGUGGAGGGUAGGAGCCUUUUCGUUGAAGAGUGUCGGCCCGGUUCAGGGCAGUAGCUUCGACUUUGAUCAACACUUCGUCGUCUUUGAUUUGAGGGUCUUCUACUUCUUGCAACUGCAGCACUUCUGGGCUACCGGGUUGAGUUAUCACUAUUGCCUUCAUUGUGCCUACACUUUCCAGAGUAGAAGUAAAUGAUUCCAAAAUAUUUAUUUAUACAAUUCUAAUGCAAAUGAUGAUGUUUUUCCCAUUUCCCAUUUCCCCUUUUGUCUUCAUGAAAAAUUGAAAGCUGAAAUACCAGGAUACACAAAUCCGCUGUCUAUACGGAAAAUAGGACAAAUUUACAUCCAGCCCCUUGUAAUUAGCAUUAAGUAUAUUUGUUUCUCAUAAGUUUUGAUUUAUAACACAAGUUGAAUCUUUAAAAAUACUCUUAGCAUUUUUUUUGAGAAAAAAAUUAUUUCAAAUUUAUACUUACACAAAUUUUACUUAAGAACUAUUGUUUUCUUCUUCGUCUCUCUUAUUUAAAAAAUUAUGACUUUAGUGCUUUCUUUCUUAUGAAAUAGAUGAAAUAAAAUAUUAAUUUGUACUAACUAAAAGCAAUCCUAUUUUAUAAGUUUUAUACUAAAAUCUAAUUUAAAAUGCUCUACUGCAUUCAUAGAAAAAAAAAAAUCCAUCAUAUUACCAUAUCAUAAGUUUUUAUUAGUUUUACUUUAAAUAAUCGUCACAAUUAAUUUAUAUAAUUUUAGAAGUCUAUCAUUAUUAAUUCUUAAUAUUAAUAUUUUAAUAUAUUUUUAAUUAAUUAAAUUAAUUACUAUAUUUAUGUGGAAUGUUAAUUCAAAAGAGUUUACACGAUCUAACAGAAAAAUAAAAGUGGAAAGGAAAAAAAAACAACUGCUGAUAUUCUAAGCAAAACAAAGUACCAAGUACCAACUACCAAGCCAUACCAUCACGGGGACUUAACUGUCAUAAAAUGAAACUCGACGGAUCUUACCAUAGAUUUAUGAAAAAAGAGAAAAAAAAAUUAUGUCGUCUAAUAUACGUUUUAAUUUAUUUUGUAGGAAUACCCGUUCUAAAUCUAAGUCUAGUAAAUAAUUAUAAAAAAAUUAUAUAAUUUUUAAAAAUUUCAAAAAUUGUUAAGAAUUAAUUAACUAAAUUUAUCUUAAAUUAUUUUUUGUAACCUAAUUUUUUUAUUAUAUUUAACCGUUAAAAUUAUUUUAGUUUAAAUUUAAAUUGAUUAUUUUAUUCUUAAAAGAUAAAAGUAACUUUAAUUUUUUAAUUUUUAUAAAAAAAAUUAUUAUUUCAAAUUGAUGUGUCAAAAAAAUUUCAAAUAGUAAAUUAUAAACAUAGAAUUACAGUAAAAAACGUUAUCUCUUAUAAUUUUUUUAUUCAACUAUUUUUCAUCCUUUCGUUUUUUAAUCUCCUUCCAAGCACACAGUUAGGUAAGAGCGUAAGACAGUUAAAACAGUACCAGCGUCUUGUUGAUAAAAUCUGGUAUGUAUAAUUUUCUUUUUCAAUUAUUGUUUAUACAAGCGAGUCAAUAUCAUUUACAUUUACAAGUUUUUUAUGUCCGUUUGGGUGAGAAAAUUUAGAAAAAUAUUAAUAAUAAAGCAUUGUCAGUUCAGUUAUCUUUUUCGAUAUAUAAUUCAAAAAAAUCAAUUUCCCUAGUAAUGUUUUGUUAAAACAGGUACGGGUGGGUCUGGGCUCAUGUGGAUUUGGAGAGCACUAAUUCUUCUCCAACUGGUUAAUGGAGUUCUGGGUUGGGGAAAGGAAGGUCAUUUUGCUAUUUGCAAGAUCGCAGAGGUUAGGAUUUUUUUUCUCUGGUUUUUGUACUUUUUCUUAAGCUGGUUAUUUUGCUAAUCAUGCUCUUUAGUAGUUCAUAAUUAAUAGAUUUGUAAGGAUGUUGAGGGUAUUCAAUUUUAUGACUUGAUGUGAUGAGUAAGUAGAAAUUAUUAGUUACACUGAUAACUAUUUCAUUUUUAAAAUGGAAAUUUUAAAACUAAAAAUGAUCAAAUAUUUUAUUUUAAACAUGUAAUCGAAAUGGAUGGAGGUUGUUCGGUAAAUGGAAUGUUUUAUUUUUAAGUUUUUUAAUUUUAAAGAAAUAGUCGAAUGAUUAGAUUUCUCACCUAGUUGAUAUUUGCCUUAAUGAGAUGCCAGCUAUAAGGAGUUGUUCAAGUAGUGCUUCAGUUCAAAUGUGCAUUCUACUAUUCUUAUAAUUACUCGAGUAAGGUGGGCUCCUAGUCAGUGUCUGUGAAAUUUUAGCUGUAUUGGCCUUGAUAAGUGUAGUUCGAAUGACUCUGGCAGAUGUGAGAAGAUAGAGACAGAAUUGGUACUGAAGUCAGGCAGGACUUGUCCUGGAAAAAUAUGUCAUCCAUGUUUAAUGUUUCACUUUUUGGUCUAUUAGGGAUAUCUCACUGAAGAUGCCUUGGCUGCUGUAAAAGAAUUGCUUCCAGAUUCAGCUGAAGGUGAUCUUGCAAAUGUUUGCUCCUGGGCUGAUGAAGUUCGAUUCCACAUGCGCUGGAGUAGUCCUUUACACUAUGUUGAUACACCAGAUUUCAUGUGUAACUACAAAUACUGCAGUAAGUUUGCUUAGUGAAUCCAUUCUGUGGUUUAGCGACGUGAACUCUUUUUUCUCUAAUGAGUUUUUCCAUGAGCUUCAUGAAACUAUUUCUUCUGUUAAUAUACAUCUUUCUUACAGGAGACUGUCAUGACUCUGUUGGGCGCAAGAACAGAUGUGUAACUGGAGCAAUAUACAACUACACCAUGCAACUCAAAUCUGGCUAUCAGGACUCUAUUUCAGUGGAAAAAUGUAAGCUUAUCACUAACGGAUAUUACAUUUUCAGGUGCUAUAAUAUAACUUUUCCUAUCUUAAAUGGCAAUAACAUGGGCUGUUUCCCUUUAUUGAUUAUAGACAAUUUAACAGAGGCGCUUAUGUUUUUAUCCCAUUUUAUUGGAGACGUGCAUCAGGUAUGCUCUUUUUACUGGGAAAUUGAAACACACACUGUAAUUCACUUUUCUUUUAAGUUUCUUUUUCUUGUGCCAGCCUCUACAUGUUGGUUUCAUUGGAGAUGAAGGUGGGAACACAAUAACAGUCCGUUGGUACCGUCGAAAGACAAACCUACACCAUGUAUGUUGUCUUUAGUCUCUUGUACAUUCUCAACCAUAUGAUCCACAAAUUUAGUAAAAAAGAAGAAAUUUGUGCAUUUUAAAAAACAGCAGGUUGCUUUUGGCAGAUCAAGGAUCCAAACUUGUAAAUUUUCUUAGAGAGAAUGAUGAAUUCCAUAAAUAAAAUGAUGUUCAAAACCUUAGGUUCUUGUGCAAAGCUUGAGAAUGUGUCUGAAAGAAUAACAUAUCGACAAUGUUAUAAUAAGUUCAUGUGAUGUAGGUCAUAUUUAUUCAAGAUAUUAAUCCAUUAAGAAAAACAGGUUCUAUUAUCCAUGAUAAGUGCUUCAGUGUGAUUGCAUUGAUUAUCCCCUGACCUUACAUCAGACUUUGAAGUAUUCUUUUGCCUCUACUUUCUUGUCUCCUGAUGGUUUUGCAAAGUAGAGUGAUGAUUUUCAAAUUGGGCCUGAUCAGUUUCAACCUUGUUUCUAGGAUAGCAGAUGAUUUUCAAAUUGUGCCUGUUCUGGAAUCUUGUGUUACUUGUUUGCAUAUCUUUCUUGAAUGUCAUUCAAGAAUUAUUCCGUUUCAGGUAUGGGAUACCAUGAUAAUUGAUUCUGCUCUGAAGACCUAUUAUGAUUCUGAUAUUGCAGUCAUGAUUCAAUCCAUUCAGAGGAAUAUUACGGUAUGCUUUUCCUUCCUUCACAGAAAUUUGCUGUUUUAUGGUCUUGCAUAGAUUUGUUUACUGUCAUUCAUUUCUCCGAAUGCAUGGCUUUGAACAUGGCUAUUUAAAGUUGAUAUUAACUAUUUUCUUUUUGUCUUGUUUGAUAUUUGUCUGCAGGAUGGUUGGUCCAAUGAUGUGUCAUCAUGGGAAAAUUGUGCAAAUAAUCAAACAGUUUGUCCUAAUGGGUAUGCACACAGCAUUCAAUUUCCUCUUCAUUGUUGUGUGGAUUCAUCUGGUUGAUUGCUUUUAAGCUGCUUGGUUUGCUAAAUAACUAGAAAAGUGCAGCUAGAAUUCACCAUCAUGAUAGAUAAUUAACGAGCUGAGGUUGUAGUAUAUAUUGCCCAUAUUAAUUUACAUAAUUAGAUGAUCAAAUACAUGGAUUCUAAAGGUGUUUCCAGGUUUUAUGUCGGCUGAAACUGCUGUAGCAAAUGUAUGAACAGCUUAAAUGCUUAAAAUGUAUGAACAAAAAAUUGAUUCCCCCUCUCAUCAUCACAAGCUGAAACUCCAUGUAUUUGUUACAUGGAAUGGGGAUCAGUGGACAUCAUUGGAUUCCUUUUCAUCUUGCAGAUACGCUUCUGAAAGUGUAAGUUUGGCAUGCAAGUUUGCAUACAGGAAUGCCACACCAGGAACCACUUUGGAAGGUAGUUUUCUAAUUAAAUGAAAAUUCCAUCUAAAUAAUUUAGAAGAGUAUUCUUUGAGUCUUUCUGAUCAUGUACAUGGCCAACUCAAUCCUGCAUGUUAAAAUCUGUCACAAUUGUUGCCAAGGCAUACGAAUUUGCCGUUAAGGCGCUAAAUGUCAUGUAACAUAUCAUUGCUUUCCAUGCACAGCAACUAGCUAGCAGUAGUUCCGUUUUCUAUCUUAUUUUAAUUCCUUGUUUUGAUUUGCUCUAGAUGAUUACUUCCUGACUCGAUUGCCUAUUGUGGAGAAAAGGCUUGCUCAAAGUGGCAUCCGCUUAGCUGCUACCUUAAACCGCAUAUUUUCUUCUCAAAUAAAAAUUGCUCAACUAUGAAGAUAGAAGGAAUAUAAGCACAAAUUCGGAGGGAUGGGCCCAGUACACCGUGUAUAUAGCUUGAAUUUCUUCAGCCAGAGAUUUCAUAUACAAUAUUAACAUUCCUUUAUCUUGCUGUCAACUCUUUCAAAACGAGCAAGGAACUGUACUUUAUGAUCACCCACCGAACCCAUUGCUCCAUUCAAGUGAGACUGUUAUGUGUCAGUAUAUUCCCGAAUAUGCCCAUCUUGCUUUUACCGUCGGCAACUUACACCUGAAAAUAUAGACAUAUUUUAAACUUGUACUCGGUGAUGACCACUUAUGUUUAUAUAUACACGCAUCUUGCGUUGUGCCGUAGAGUCAACUUUUAGGUACUUAAUAUGAAACUUGCACUCCAUGACAACCUCUUAUGAUGUGUUUAUAUUAUCAUAUGUAUGCGUGACAAAUACAUUUUACUGGGCUCAUUGUGUUUGCUGGCUGAUGUCAAUAUUGGAAAGACGAAGCAAGAAUUGAAUUAAGUAUUCAUAGAGAACGAGAGAGAAUAUGAGCCGAUGGGGGAUUGUGCCCUUUAAAAUUUGUUUUGUUUGUGAGUUUGGCUUUGGUUUUAGUGCCUGGGGCCUGGGGAUGGAGCAAGGAGGGUCAUAUUAUGACAUGUAGGAUCGCACAGGUAAUGCUAAUUUUAUUUUUCAGAUGAAAGUUAAAAAUGGUUAUUAAAAAAUGUAGAUAGAUAUCAACUUCUUUUAGCAUUUGAUGUGUUUUUUAGUCAUUUUAUUUUUAUUUUUUUGUUAUUUUCAAUUAAACCGUAUGUUUAUUAUAAGAUAAAUGCAAUAAAACCCUUUGAGGAUGCUUAAGCGCUCUCUUUGUCUAAGUUAAUUUUUGAUUUUGUGAUCCAGUCAUUUUGUUUUGAAUAAUUUUUUUUUUUUUUCGUUCUAUCUUUUUCUUCCUAUACUUUUAAAAAAGAGAUGAGCCAUAUUUGCAGUUUGUUCAAUAGGAUGAUAGGGGCCCUUGCAGUCGACGAAAAGUUAACAUGUAACUAAAUGAUCAUCUAAUUGAAGGAGUUUGGGGGAUUUAGAUGCAGAUCAUGCCCCAGAAAUUAUGCUUAAAGUCAGGAUAGAUAAUUUCUUUUUUUUGAAAAAAAAAAAAAGUUUCUUCAAAGAAAGUGAGAAACAUUAACACGAUCAAGAUAUUUGCUAGUUGCUACUCUGAAUAGAUAUCUUGCCUAUCAAUCACAAUUUUUACGCUUAUUGCAUUAAAUGAUGUAACAAAUGUCCAGGUAUCAUAUUCCGCGGACUUGGGUACAUCCUGGAGAAAACCUACUAGUCAUCCAUGAAGAGCUUGGCGGUGACCCUUCAAAGAUUUCUUUGCUUACGAAAACUGGCCAAGAUAUUUGUUCAUUUGUAUCAGAGGCUGAUCCUCCGCCAGUUGAUUCCUGGAAACCAAACCUAGGAGUCGUGUCUAGCAGCCCUCAAGUUCGACUGGCCUGUGAAAGAGGAUGGCACAUUGCUGCCAUUAAUUUUGCCAGCUAUGGCAUUCCUGAAGGAAACUGUGGCUCUUUCAGACCAGGAGCUUGUCAUAUGGACGCUUUACCAAUUGUUCAGAAGGUAACUCUGUUUUUACCAAUACGGACAUGUAGAUAUGUCAAUUGUCACCUCACUAGCAUAUGUCAUUUGCGGAAAGAUUUUUCAAUGAAGAGAUAGGGUAUUAGUAGUAAAUGAGGUUUUACUUUGUCAUUGAUUCUUAGGUUUUGAUUUGGAUGGAAAUUUCAGGCUUGCGUCGGCCAAGUUGAAUGUUCACUCCCUGUUUCCUGGGCUUACCUUGGUGUUAGUGCUGGCGCCUGCCCUGGCUUGUUAAAAGCCCUUGCCGUUGAAGCUCAUUGCAGCAUAUGAAAUCGGAAUUCGCUCCCACAGUAAAAGAUCAAAGGUAGAAUAACACUGACAACUCAUUGCCAACGACGUGACGUUCGCUGCUUUUCUUUUUUGUUCCUUUUUUUUGAAAAAAAACAUUCUUGAAUAGUUGUGUGAGAUGUAUUUUAAAAUUUAAAUAAUAUAUCUUUUCUUAAUUCGUUGCUGGUGUAAAUGAAAAAAAAUAUAUUAUAGAAUUAUGAAUUUUAUUGUUGUUGAAUGAAUUAUGAAUUAUGUAACUUUUCAAGCCAUCAUUACAACAUAAAUGUUUCAAGAAAGUAGUUGCCAUAUUUAUUUAUUUACGAAGGUUUAACCAGAAGGAAGUAAUUCAAGAAAGCUUAACAAACUGAUGCCGCGCUCUCAAUUGUCUUCUUAACGAAAAUAUGUUCAUUCCAUAAACCUUAUGCAAUUCUCACCAAGUAUUUAGAGCAUUUUACAAACAACAUGAACUUACAUAACUGUAUGCACAAUGACACAAGGUUCAUGGAACAAGCAUAAUCUUCCCGUUAUGCUGGCUACUUUCCAUGAGCUGGUGAGCUUCGGCUGCUUCACACAGCGGAAGAUACUUGUAGAUCACAGGCUUCACCUUCCCCACUGCUAUUGCAGGCCAAACAUUCUUCUCCACCUCCGAUACAAUUAAUGCUUUGUUUUCUGUACUUCUGCUUCGCAAGCCAGCCGCUGUGCAUUAAACACCAAUUAUAUAGACCCAUUAAUCAUACAUCUCUCUCAAAUAACUCUAGUAAACACACCCCGAAAGAAGAAUAAAGAAAAUGGUAUAUCAGAGAUGUGUUGAGAGUCCCAGAAGAAAUUCAGUUUAGAAGUAACUUCGUAUAUUUUUGCAUAUCCAAUCAGAUAUUUCAGUUUAAUUGCUAUCUGAAAGCUGAUAUACAAGGCAUAAAAAUCACAAAGCUUCUGUUAAAGAAUAAAAGGAAACUCAUUAAGGAAAAACCAUGACAGAAAUUAGAUUCAGAAACUAGGUUAUCAAUUGAUUCCCCAAAAAAUUUUGCUGGAAUCAAAACCUACGAACCUUUUAAGGGUUAAGUCAACCCAAUUUCUUAAAAUUAAUUACUAUGCUAAAUACAACUAACAUGUGACCGUAAGGGGAACUUCACAUGGACUUCUUUACCAUUGCUAGCGUAAAAAUUCAUCCAAUUGAAAAAGUUGGAUUCCAAUAUAGAUACUAUGUUUAAUUGUAAAAAAGAAGGGGAAAAAAAGCACCUUGGAUUGGGAAAAAAAAAAAAAGGAACACCAAGGCCCAGUAAUCAAGGGCACAAUACCUUGUACAGUGAGGCGCUUGGCAAACAGAGAAGUUAUGUUUAAUUCUGUUUUAGCUCCACCCUGGGUUCCAAUUAUGAAAAGCCUCCCAUCAAUGUUCAAGCUGUCGAGGUUACGCUGAAAGUAGGAUGCUCCUAUGCAAUCUAGAAUUACGUCAACACCUAGGCACAAGCAUUAAUACAUAUCCAUCAGUCGUGAACAGAAAGAGACAGAAUGAUCUUUAUCCAGGAGUACAACUUCCAGGUUAAAACAAAAUGCAUUCAUAAUGCUAUUAAACACUAAACACACCUUUACCACCAGUUUCUUCCUUCACUCGUGCAACAAAAUCCUCAGUCUUGUAAUUGAUGCACACAUCCGCACCAAGAUCCUUGCAAAAAGCCAGUUUUUCCUCACUCCCUGUAGAUCAAUAGCUAAAACCUAUGAACACACAAAUAUUGAAUGGUGGACAUAAGAUGAGCCUUGUGGCCAAACCUGCUGUAACAAAGACUCUCACUCCUUGGCAUUUUCCCAUCUGAAUCGCAAAUGUACCAAUUCCACUAGAGCCCCCAUGAACCUGAUAGUUUAAUAGCCAUUAGUUCAUGCAUUAAGCUUCAUAACAUAUAUAUUUCAGUGGCUUAGCAGACAAAGAGAUUGAAUAUCCUUUGCAUCACGUAUAUCAUACAUUUUUUAUGUAUCAGACAGAAAUUUGAACCCUCAGAUACUUGUACACUAGACUAGGGAUCUUCAGCUUUAAAGCAAUUGUUAUCUGCCAGUCAAUGUUUACUGCCCAACAUAGUGGCUGCAGAGGUGUUGGACAAAUAUACAAUACAGGAUUUGGACUCUAAUUAAGUUUUAACCAAGUAAGGAUGAGAUUACAAGUCACACCCGUGUUGAUAACAUAUUGAAGGUAAAACUUAAAAAGAAAGUUUCUAAGCAGUAAUAUCUAUUCAAGCGCAACAAUAAAUCGUUCCAAUUUGAAGAAUUAGAACCUAUUUCCACCAUGUUUUGGAUAUCAAAUAUUCAUCUUUACUGGGCAACUAAGCCAUAAUGCAGACUUUGGGAAUUACAGUCAUACAUAACAAGCCGGACAAUUAAACUAUUUCAGAACGUCAACAGGAACAUAGCAAUCAUCACAAUAUUUGCUCCGAUAAAUCAAAAUUAAACUUAAAAUCGUACAUCAGAAUACGAGAUAGAGCAAAAAUCUACCAGAAAUGACUCCCCUGGGGAUAGGUGACUGGUCAUGAAAACCGUUGACCAAACAGUGCAGGCCACCUCCGGAAACGCAGCAGCAUCUUUGAGUGAGACACCAGAUGGAACGGGAAGAACUUGUCCAGCUGGAACAGCCACUUUCUCAGCAUACCCUCCUCCACCAAGCAGAGCACACACCUAUUCAACAAAAUUUAUCACGACCCACAGUGAGCAGCUUCAAAGUUCAUAUCCCCUUUAAUAUUAAAAAUAUGAUUCAAUUACACAUAACUGCGUCUAAAAAAAUAUAGAGUUCAGUAUACAAAAAGUUCACAACUUUUGAAUUGUUGAGAAAAAGAAAGAAGAACCCACUUCAAAAAAAAAAAAAAUCUGUAAUUUUACACUAAACGAGAAAAUUACUAAGUAAUAGAAAUGAAAAAUUAAGCAACCUGGUCGCCGACUUUCCAUCUAGAGACGUUUUUACCAACGGACAGGAUGGUUCCGGAACAUUCGAGACCCAGGUGAGGGCUGGCGCCUUUGGGUGGAGGGUAGGAGCCUUUUCGUUGAAGAGUGUCGGCCCGGUUCAGGGCAGUAGCUUCGACUUUGAUCAACACUUCGUCAUCUUUGAUUUGAGGGUCUUCUACUUCUUGCAACUGCAGCACUUCUGGGC